UGGGGAAUAUUGGACAAUGGGCGCAAGCCUGAUCCAGCCAUGCCGCGUUAGUGAUGAAGGCCCUAGGGUUGUAAAGCUCUUUCACCGGUGAAGAUAAUGACGGUAACCGGAGAAGAAGCCCCGGCUAACUUCGUGCCAGCAGCCGCGGUAAUACGAAGGGGGCUAGCGUUGUUCGGAUUUACUGGGCGUAAAGCGCACGUAGGCGGACUAUUAAGUCAGGGGUGAAAUCCCGGGGCUCAACCCCGGAACUGCCUUUGAUACUGGUAGUCUUGAGUUCGAGAGAGGUGAGUGGAAUUCCGAGUGUAGAGGUGAAAUUCGUAGAUAUUCGGAGGAACACCAGUGGCGAAGGCGGCUCACUGGCUCGAUACUGACGCUGAGGUGCGAAAGCGUGGGGAGCAAACAGG
Molecule: ribosomal RNA, 404 nt
Filed under: Actinomycetes bacterium
Lineage: Bacteria; Bacillati; Actinomycetota; Actinomycetes
Description: Actinobacteria bacterium partial 16S ribosomal RNA
Rfam family: Bacterial small subunit ribosomal RNA
Source: RNAcentral